UGGGGAAUUUUGGACAAUGGGCGAAAGCCUGAUCCAGCAAUGCCGCGUGUGUGAAGAAGGCCUUCGGGUUGUAAAGCACUUUUGUCCGGAAAGAAAUCCUUGGCUCUAAUACAGUCGGGGGAUGACGGUACCGGAAGAAUAAGCACCGGCUAACUACGUGCCAGCAGCCGCGGUAAUACGUAGGGUGCAAGCGUUAAUCGGAAUUACUGGGCGUAAAGCGUGCGCAGGCGGUUUGCUAAGACCGAUGUGAAAUCCCCGGGCUCAACCUGGGAACUGCAUUGGUGACUGGCAGGCUAGAGUAUGGCAGAGGGGGGUAGAAUUCCACGUGUAGCAGUGAAAUGCGUAGAGAUGUGGAGGAAUACCGAUGGCGAAGGCAGCCCCCUGGGCCAAUACUGACGCUCAUGCACGAAAGCGUGGGGAGCAAACAGGAUUAGAUACCCUGGUAGUCCACGCCCUAAACGAUGUCAACUAGUUGUUGGGAUUCAUUUCCUAGUAACGUAGCUAACGCGUGAAGUUGACCGCCUGGGGAGUACGGUCGCAAGAUUAAACUCAAAUG
This 556-nucleotide ribosomal RNA is filed under the name uncultured bacterium. RNAcentral's name for it is "partial 16S ribosomal RNA". It matches the Rfam family "Bacterial small subunit ribosomal RNA", at positions 355 to 907 of the family's 1533-position model. The record is from RNAcentral.